GUCCGGGAGAGACCCGUCGCCGGCCGGCAUACGGGAACCGAAGGGGCAAAACUCUCAGGUAAAAGAACCGGGCA
This 74-nucleotide non-coding RNA is filed under the name bovine gut metagenome. Its description in RNAcentral is "Glycine riboswitch". It matches the Rfam family "Glycine riboswitch aptamer", at positions 8 to 87 of the family's 94-position model. From Rfam's summary of the family: This family represents the bacterial glycine riboswitch. Glycine riboswitches usually consist of two metabolite-binding aptamers domains with similar structures in tandem. The record is from RNAcentral.